GAUGAACGCUGGCGGCGUGCCUAAUACAUGCAAGUCGAGCGAACGGACGAGAAGCUUGCUUCUCUGAUGUUAGCGGCGGACGGGUGAGUAACACGUGGAUAACCUACCUAUAAGACUGGGAUAACUUCGGGAAACCGGAGCUAAUACCGGAUAAUAUUUUGAACCGCAUGGUUCAAAAGUGAAAGACGGUCUUGCUGUCACUUAUAGAUGGAUCCGCGCUGCAUUAGCUAGUUGGUAAGGUAACGGCUUACCAAGGCAACGAUGCAUAGCCGACCUGAGAGGGUGAUCGGCCACACUGGAACUGAGACACGGUCCAGACUCCUACGGGAGGCAGCAGUAGGGAAUCUUCCGCAAUGGGCGAAAGCCUGACGGAGCAACGCCGCGUGAGUGAUGAAGGUCUUCGGAUCGUAAAACUCUGUUAUUAGGGAAGAACAUAUGUGUAAGUAACUGUGCACAUCUUGACGGUACCUAAUCAGAAAGCCACGGCUAACUACGUGCCAGCAGCCGCGGUAAUACGUAGGUGGCAAGCGUUAUCCGGAAUUAUUGGGCGUAAAAGCGCGCGUAGGCGGUUUUUUAAGUCUGAUGUGAAAGCCCACGGCUCAACCGUGGAGGGUCAUUGGAAACUGGAAAACUUGAGUGCAGAAGAGGAAAGUGGAAUUCCAUGUGUAGCGGUGAAAUGCGCAGAGAUAUGGAGGAACACCAGUGGCGAAGGCGACUUUCUGGUCUGUAACUGACGCUGAUGUGCGAAAGCGUGGGGAUCAAACAGGAUUAGAUACCCUGGUAGUCCACGCCGUAAACGAUGAGUGCUAAGUGUUAGGGGGUUUCCGCCCCUUAGUGCUGCAGCUAACGCAUUAAGCACUCCGCCUGGGGAGUACGACCGCAAGGUUGAAACUCAAAGGAAUUGACGGGGACCCGCACAAGCGGUGGAGCAUGUGGUUUAAUUCGAAGCAACGCGAAGAACCUUACCAAAUCUUGACAUCCUUUGACAACUCUAGAGAUAGAGCCUUCCCCUUCGGGGGACAAAGUGACAGGUGGUGCAUGGUUGUCGUCAGCUCGUGUCGUGAGAUGUUGGGUUAAGUCCCGCAACGAGCGCAACCCUUAAGCUUAGUUGCCAUCAUUAAGUUGGGCACUCUAAGUUGACUGCCGGUGACAAACCGGAGGAAGGUGGGGAUGACGUCAAAUCAUCAUGCCCCUUAUGAUUUGGGCUACACACGUGCUACAAUGGACAAUACAAAGGGCAGCGAAACCGCGAGGUCAAGCAAAUCCCAUAAAGUUGUUCUCAGUUCGGAUUGUAGUCUGCAACUCGACUACAUGAAGCUGGAAUCGCUAGCAAUCGUAGAUCAGCAUGCUACGGUGAAUACGUUCCCGGGUCU
Molecule: ribosomal RNA, 1373 nt
Filed under: uncultured bacterium
Lineage: Bacteria
Description: bacterial SSU rRNA
Rfam family: Bacterial small subunit ribosomal RNA
Source: RNAcentral